This is an RNA transcript of Centrocercus urophasianus (Greater sage-grouse), 2595 nucleotides long. It is a transcript of the gene named transmembrane protein 178B, with no coding region annotated. Lineage: Eukaryota; Metazoa; Chordata; Aves; Galliformes; Phasianidae. The transcript has 6 exons. The record is from RefSeq and is a predicted model, not a curated record.
GCUCAAGGGCUUUGCCUGUGGUGAAGAUGUCCAUGGUGUUCCCGUGAAGCUGAGGUAUGGCUGCUGGAAGGUUGCUGCUGUAUGCUGGCCUCUCUUUAGCUUUGUGUGCCCUGGGCAUGCUGGCUGUGGCGAUCUGCUCUGACCACUGGUAUGAAACUGAUGCCCGAAAGCACAGGGAGAGGUGCAAAAGCAUCACCACUAAGAGAAAUGAUCCUGGCUUUAUUUACAACUCCAACAACAACCUGCCUCUCAGGGCCAGCAGGUCGAGGUUGGACCGCUGGGAAGGGAAACUCCUCUUGGCAAGGAACAGGAGGCAGAUCUUUGCCAUGAGUGCGGUCGACGAGUGCAACAGACAGUACAACUCAACCAACAUGGGGCUCUGGAGGAAAUGCCACCGACAAGGAUUCGACCAAGAGCUGGAGGAGCUGAUUGCCAAAGGAGCAAUUGAGCGGUGCUCAUACAUCAAGUACCACUACUCCUCAGCGACCAUUCCCAAGAACCUCACCUACAACAUCACCAAGACAAUCCGCCAGGAUGAGUGGCACGCCUUGCAUCUGCGCAGGAUGACAGCUGGCUUCAUGGGCAUGGCUGUGGCCAUCAUCCUCUUCGGAUGGAUUAUCGGGGUGCUGGGGUGCUGUUGGGAUCGAGGCCUUAUGCAAUAUGUGGCGGGGCUUCUCUUCCUCAUGGGAGGAGCUGAGGAUCAGACCUCUGAUCUCUUAAACAUACGUGGGUCAGAACUCCUCUGCAGUUUUGCUUUUCUCGGUGCAGUGCCAGGAGCUGCUGCCUGUCAAGAAGAAAAUGACGGCUUCCCAGUCGCAAGCAAGUCCAUCCAGGAUGUCACCCAGAAGCAGAGGAUGAGCCCAGGAGAUGCUGGAUCACUGUCACAGAGCUCAACUUUGUUGCAUCUCCAGCAUCCCCCAGGGCCUGCGCAGGGACUAGUGUGUGUCAUGAGAUUCCAGCCAUGUCAUCCCUGCUGAGAGUUCUCCCCACUCUCACAGGAAGCAUCUGACCAUUUCUGGUUCUCAACAUGCCUGCAAGUGGUGAUGGAAUCAUGUCAAAUAGCCAGGAUCUAGAAUAGAACCUUGUGAUUGAAACAGGGUUUUCUUGAACUAUUCAAAUCUUUCUCAGGAAAUAAUGUAUGAGAACAAUCUGCUUCAGAAUAAUCCAUCACUGACUGUGAGAUUCCAGUACAAUUUGGUUGCUACAUUGCAUAUAUUUUUAUUCUCUGUUUGUUCAAUGAGUGUUGCACUUAUAAUGAUGAGAUUACUGGUAGUACCAAACAGAUUUUCAGAAUGAUGAGAAGAUAAUUAGAUGAUAUCCUGAGGGUGAUUUCUGUUUAAGACACAGCAACUAUGACAUGGAGUAUAUGAAUGUGGAGAAGGAAGAUAACAGUGCUUAUUAACCUAAGAUACAAUGAUUCCCAAAUUACCAGGAAAUAUGUUUCAUUGAGGUGAACGACAUGGUGAUUGAUGUUUGGCCCAAGCUGGCCCAUCUGUUGCGAGGCACGACUCAGCUAAGCUCAGAGGAACUUGAUGAUCUCCCGAGGUGCCAUCCAACCCCUUCAAUUCUGUGAUUCUCUGACCUGAUGUUUGCUGCAGCCACAAUGCCAGCUUCAGCAUAAACUGUGAGGUUUUGACAAGCCCAAGUGAUUGAACUGCACACCCAGAAGGCUGCUGGCUUCCAAGAGCUCUGCUUGUUCAGCUCCCAUCACCUGUGAGUGACCAGCAACAAAAGCCUGACAGCAUAGCGGUGGCAGGGAUGCUCACUACAAAAUCAGAGAUUGAAGACCCUACCUACCUUUCUAAAUCAAUCCUUAGUGACAUUCCAGGAUUACAGUAAGGAAACUGCUGCUGCUGCAUGGAUCUGUGGCUCCAAGUGGGACAAGUGGCCACAUAGCCAUGAACCCACAGACUUGGUGGAUGCCCACCCCUCCUGGGGACACAUCAGGCACAUUUUUCCCUUCCUCUCUGCUCUCUUGGCUUUGCCAGAAGACUCACCGUGACAGAGGUGGCAACCUCAAGUGAAUACACAGCUGCUGCUAUCCCACUGCUCUCGUAAAGUGCUGGCAACCCCUGUACAUCCACACACACAGAUGCACAGCUCUGGGAUGUGUCCUUUGCCAGCCAAAUGGAGCACCAAAAUCGCCCGUGUACACAUGAGGACUCUCUGGCUAUAUAACUGGUGCUUCACUCAAACAACCACAUACUUAGGAGCAAGAAGAUGUCUUCUAGGUAUCUUUGGGAAACCAACUGGAAGAACAGUGGUUAAAGGAAAGCAAGAAAUCAAAGUAAGCGAAGAUAUCAUGUAAAUGGAGUCAGCAACGCCUGUGCAUUUGGAAAGGCUAGUCACUGGUUCAAGAUGCUUGCAUUUAAUAUGAAAUACAAGACUGUUCUAAUCCAGCCUUGUCAAGUCCCAGAGUCUUACACUGCCUUCAUCUUUGCCACAGAUUCUGAAAACAGCAUAUUAAGUGGAAAGUAUCUCUGAACAACAAGAAAAGCCAAGUCAGCCUUUCAAAUGACCAGACCAUGAUGUGAUGUGAAUUAAAAAAAAAAACAAACCCACUACUCUGUUUGUAAUAGAAGAAACUAUGGAAUU